Molecule: ribosomal RNA, 1320 nt
Filed under: Staphylococcus sp. sen1046
Lineage: Bacteria; Bacillati; Bacillota; Bacilli; Caryophanales; Staphylococcaceae
Description: bacterial SSU rRNA
Rfam family: Bacterial small subunit ribosomal RNA
Source: RNAcentral
AGCGGCGGACGGGUGAGUAACACGUGGAUAACCUACCUAUAAGACUGGGAUAACUUCGGGAAACCGGAGCUAAUACCGGAUAACAUAUUGAACCGCAUGGUUCAAUAGUGAAAGGCGGCUUUGCUGUCACUUAUAGAUGGAUCCGCGCCGUAUUAGCUAGUUGGUAAGGUAACGGCUUACCAAGGCAACGAUACGUAGCCGACCUGAGAGGGUGAUCGGCCACACUGGAACUGAGACACGGUCCAGACUCCUACGGGAGGCAGCAGUAGGGAAUCUUCCGCAAUGGGCGAAAGCCUGACGGAGCAACGCCGCGUGAGUGAUGAAGGUCUUCGGAUCGUAAAACUCUGUUAUCAGGGAAGAACAAAUGUGUAAGUAACUGUGCACAUCUUGACGGUACCUGAUCAGAAAGCCACGGCUAACUACGUGCCAGCAGCCGCGGUAAUACGUAGGUGGCAAGCGUUAUCCGGAAUUAUUGGGCGUAAAGCGCGCGUAGGCGGUUUUUUAAGUCUGAUGUGAAAGCCCACGGCUCAACCGUGGAGGGUCAUUGGAAACUGGAAAACUUGAGUGCAGAAGAGGAAAGUGGAAUUCCAUGUGUAGCGGUGAAAUGCGCAGAGAUAUGGAGGAACACCAGUGGCGAAGGCGACUUUCUGGUCUGUAACUGACGCUGAUGUGCGAAAGCGUGGGGAUCAAACAGGGAUUAGAUACCCUGGUAGUCCACGCCGUAAACGAUGAGUGCUAAGUGUUAGGGGGUUUCCGCCCCUUAGUGCUGCAGCUAACGCAUUAAGCACUCCGCCUGGGGAGUACGACCGCAAGGUUGAAACUCAAAGGAAUUGACGGGGACCCGCACAAGCGGUGGAGCAUGUGGUUUAAUUCGAAGCAACGCGAAGAACCUUACCAAAUCUUGACAUCCUUUGACCGCUCUAGAGAUAGAGUCUUCCCCUUCGGGGGACAAAGUGACAGGUGGUGCAUGGUUGUCGUCAGCUCGUGUCGUGAGAUGUUGGGUUAAGUCCCGCAACGAGCGCAACCCUUAAGCUUAGUUGCCAUCAUUAAGUUGGGCACUCUAAGUUGACUGCCGGUGACAAACCGGAGGAAGGUGGGGAUGACGUCAAAUCAUCAUGCCCCUUAUGAUUUGGGCUACACACGUGCUACAAUGGACAAUACAAAGGGCAGCUAAACCGCGAGGUCAAGCAAAUCCCAUAAAGUUGUUCUCAGUUCGGAUUGUAGUCUGCAACUCGACUACAUGAAGCUGGAAUCGCUAGUAAUCGUAGAUCAGCAUGCUACGGUGAAUACGUUCCCGGGUCUUGUACACACCGCCCGUCA